UACGGAGGGGGCAAGCGUUGUUCGGAAUUACUGGGCGUAAAGGGCGCGUAGGCGGCCUUCUAAGUCGAACGUGAAAUCCCCGGGCUCAACCCGGGAACUGCGUCCGAUACUGGAAGGCUUGAAUCCGGGAGAGGGAUGCGGAAUUCCAGGUGUAGCGGUGAAAUGCGUAGAUAUCUGGAGGAACACCUGUGGCGAAAGCGGCGCACUGGACCACAUCUGACGCUGAGGCGCGAAAGCUAGGGGAGCAAACAGG
Molecule: ribosomal RNA, 253 nt
Filed under: uncultured bacterium
Lineage: Bacteria
Description: partial 16S ribosomal RNA
Rfam family: Bacterial small subunit ribosomal RNA
Source: RNAcentral